This 520-nucleotide ribosomal RNA is filed under the name uncultured Actinomycetes bacterium. RNAcentral describes it as "bacterial SSU rRNA". It matches the Rfam family "Bacterial small subunit ribosomal RNA", at positions 384 to 896 of the family's 1533-position model. Lineage: Bacteria; Bacillati; Actinomycetota; Actinomycetes. The record is from RNAcentral.
UGACGCAGCGACGCCGCGUGCGGGAAGAAGGCCUUCGGGUUGUAAACCGCUUUCAGGAGGGACGAAGCCACUCGGGUGAACAGCCCAGAGGGUGACGGUACCUCCAGAAGAAGCCCCGGCUAACUACGUGCCAGCAGCCGCGGUAAUACGUAGGGGGCAAGCGUUGUCCGGAUUCAUUGGGCGUAAAGAGCGUGUAGGCGGCCAGGUAGGUCGGUUGUGAAAACUGGAGGCUCAACCUUCAGAGGUCGACCGAAACCAUCUGGCUAGAGUCCGGGAGAGGAGAGUGGGAUUCCUGGUGUAGCGGUGAAAUGCGCAGAUAUCAGGAAGAACACCCGUGGCGAAAGCGGCUCUCUGGAACGGUACUGACGCUGAGACGCGAAAGCGUGGGGAGCGAACAGGAUUAGAUACCCUGGUAGUCCACGCCGUAAACGAUGGGCGCUAGGUGUGGGAGGUGUCGACUCCUUCCGUGCCGCAGCUAACGCAUUAAGCGCCCCGCCUGGGGAGUACGGCCGCAAGGCUA